Non-coding RNA from Kordia algicida OT-1, 28 nucleotides. Lineage: Bacteria; Pseudomonadati; Bacteroidota; Flavobacteriia; Flavobacteriales; Flavobacteriaceae. The record is from Rfam.
UAACCUCUGGCGAUAGACGUGAAUGUUG